UGUAGGACCACGAUGUCGCAAGAAAUUUAGUGAGAAGAAUUCUUUGGAAAAUGAAACCAUAGACGGUGAUAGUCCGGUAUUCGAAGCUAAAUGAAGCGUAGUGGUAUCCUGAGUAGCGCGGGACACGAGGAAUCUUGCGUGAAUCUGCCGGGACCAUCCGGUAAGGCUAAAUACUCCCGAGAGACCGAUAGCGAACCAGUACUGUGAAGGAAAGGUGAAAAGCACUUCGAAUAGAAGAGUGAAAUAGUCCCUGAAACCGUGCGCCUACAAGCGGUCGGAGCUGCUUCAGCAGUGACGGCGUGCCUUUUGCAUAAUGAACCUACGAGUUACUUUUUCCGGCAAGGUUAAGGAUCUUGAGAUCCGCAGCCGAAGCGAAAGCGAGUCUUAACAGGGCGAUUAGUCGGAAGGAGUAGACGCGAAACCAAGUGAUCUACCCUUGGUCAGGUUGAAGGUUAGGUAACACUAACUGGAGGACCGAACCGAUAAGCGUUGAAAAGCUUCCGGAUGAACUGAGGGUGGGGGUGAAAGGCUAAUCAAACUUGGAGAUAGCUCGUACUCCCCGAAAUGCAUUUAGGUGCAGCCUUGGGAAUUACUACUGUGAGGUAGAGCGACUGAUAAGAUGCGAGGGCUUCACCGCCUAUCAAGUCUUGAUAAACUCCGAAUGCGCAGUAGUUCGAUCCCAGGAGUGAGGGCAUGGGUGCUAAGGUCCAUGUCCUAAAGGAGAAGAAUCCGGACCAUCAGCUAAGGUCCCGAAAUAAUUGCUAAGUUGAACUAACGAAGUCAGAUUGCUAAGACAGCUAGGAUGUUGGCUUGGAAGCAGCCAUUCAUUUAAAGAGUGCGUAACAGCUCACUAGUCGAGGAGUUUGGCGUGGAUAAUAAUCGGGCAUUAAGCAAUUUACCGAAGCUAUGGGAUCCGUAAGGAUCGGUAGGGGAGCAUUCCACUCUGCGUCGAAGGUGAAGCGUGAGCUUUGCUGGAGCGUGUGGAAAAGCAAAUGUAGGUAUAAGUAACGAUAAAGGGGGUGAGAAACCCCCUCGCCGAAAGACUAAGGUUUCCUGAUCAACGCUAAUCGGAUCAGGGUUAGUCGGGUCCUAAGGCUCAGCCGAACGGUGAGGCCGAUGGCAGAACAGGUUAAUAUUCCUGUACUACCUUAAGGAGUGACGUGGAGACGGAGGAGUGACAGCGCCGCGGACUGACGGAAUAGUCCGUUGAAGGGUGUAGAUGUUGAUUAUCCCAGGCAAAUCCGGGAUAAGAGUCGAACCUGAUAGUAUACCAAAUUCUUCGGAAUAAGGUAAUAGUGCGUGUAAGCAUACUCCCAAGAAAAUCCGCUAAACUUAAUCUUUAAGGUACCCGUACCGCAAACGGACACACGUAGUCGGGUUGAAUAUACUAAGGCGCUUGAGUGAUUCACGGUUAAGGAACUAGGCAAAUUGACCCUGUAACUUCGGGAUAAAGGGUCCCAACGAGAGUUGGGCGCAGAGAAUAGGUCCAGGCAACUGUUUAACAAAAACACAGGGCUGUGCCAAAUUGAAAGAUUACGUAUACAGCCUGACACCUGCCCGGUGCUGGAAGGUUAAGAGGAGAUGUCAUCGCAAGAGAAGCAUUGAAUUGAAGCCCCAGUAAACGGCGGCCGUAACUAUAACGGUCCUAAGGUAGCGAAAUUCCUUGUCGGGUAAGUUCCGACCUGCACGAAUGGUGUAAUGAUCUGGACACUGUCUCAACCGUGAGCUCAGUGAAAUUGUAGUAUCGGUGAAGAUGCCGAUUACCCGCGAUGGGACGAAAAGACCCCGUGAACCUUUACUAUAGCUUAACAUUGAAUUUGGGUAAUUGAUGUGUAGGAUAGGCCGGAGACUUUGAAGCAGGUACGCCAGUAUUUGUGGAGUCGCUGUUGAAAUACGGCCCUUUGAUUAUUUGAGUUCUAACUCGUUGUUACGAGGACACUGUUUGGUGGGUAGUUUGACUGGGGUGGUCGCCUCCAAAAGUGUAACGGAGGCUUCUAAAGGUGCCCUCAGGACGAUUGGUAACCGUCCGUAGAGUGUAAUGGCAUAAGGGCGCUUGACUGGGAGACAGACAAGUCGAUCAGGUAGGAAACUAGAGCAUAGUGAUCCGGUGUUUCCGUAUGGAAGGGACAUCGCUCAAAGGAUAAAAGGUACUCCGGGGAUAACAGGCUGAUCCCUCCCAAGAGCUCAUAUCGACGGAGGGGUUUGGCACCUCGAUGUCGGCUCGUCACAUCCUGGGGCUGGAGAAGGUCCCAAGGG
This 2256-nucleotide ribosomal RNA is filed under the name human gut metagenome. RNAcentral's name for it is "bacterial LSU rRNA". It matches the Rfam family "Bacterial large subunit ribosomal RNA", at positions 296 to 2571 of the family's 2925-position model. The record is from RNAcentral.